CUCAGGGAGGUAGUGACAAGAAAUAACAACACUGGAAAUUUUAUUUCUAGUGAUUGGAAUGAUGGGAAUUUAAACCCCUUUCAGAGUAACAAUUGGAGGGCAAGUCUGGUGCCAGCAGCCGCGGUAAUUCCAGCUCCAAUAGCGUAUAUUAAAGUUGUUGCAGUUAAAAAGCUCGUAGUUGGAUGUCUGCUGGAAGCAAUCAGUCUGCCCUAUUUGUAGGGUGUGCACUUGAUGAAUUCUGGCAUUUUUGUCCCAAUGAUGUAACGGGGCGGUGGUACUCGGUGAAAGCCGAGUAUCCUGUUUUCCGAUUAUUGGGAUACUGUUACUUUGAGAAAAUUAGAGUGUUUGAAGCAGGCUAAUUGCCUUGAAUACUGCAGCAUGGAAUAACAAUAUAGGAUUUCGGUCCUAUUUUGUUGGUUUCUAGGACUGAAAUAAUGAUUAAUAGGGACAGUUGGGGGCAUUCGUAUUUAACUGUCAGAGGUGAAAUUCUUAGAUUUGUUAAAGACGAACUACUGCGAAAGCAUUUGCCAAAGAUGUUUUCAUUAAUCAAGAACGAAAGUUAGGGGCUCGAAGACGAUCAGAUACCGUCGUAGUCUUAACCAUAAACUAUGCCGACUAGAGAUAGGAAAAUGUCAUUUUGCUGACUU
RNAcentral lists this ribosomal RNA (647 nucleotides) under Sarcocystis tenella. RNAcentral describes it as "SSU rRNA". It matches the Rfam family "Eukaryotic small subunit ribosomal RNA", at positions 455 to 1077 of the family's 1831-position model. The record is from RNAcentral. Lineage: Eukaryota; Apicomplexa; Conoidasida; Eucoccidiorida; Sarcocystidae.